GACGGAGGAUGCAAGCGUUAUCCGGAAUGAUUGGGCGUAAAGCGUCCGCAGGUGGCAGUUCAAGUCUGCGGUCAAAGACUGGGGCUUAACCCUGGAAAGGCCGUGGAAACUGAAUAGCUAGAGUGCAGUAGGGGUAGAGGGAAUUCCCGGCGUAGCGGUGAAAUGCGUAGAGCUCGGGAAGAACAUCGGUGGCGAAAGCGCUCUGCUGGACUGCAACUGACACUCAGGGACGAAAGCUAGGGGAGCGAAUGGG
This 253-nucleotide ribosomal RNA is filed under the name uncultured bacterium. Its description in RNAcentral is "partial 16S ribosomal RNA". It matches the Rfam family "Bacterial small subunit ribosomal RNA", at positions 524 to 776 of the family's 1533-position model. The record is from RNAcentral.